RNAcentral lists this ribosomal RNA (491 nucleotides) under uncultured bacterium. Its description in RNAcentral is "partial 16S ribosomal RNA". It matches the Rfam family "Bacterial small subunit ribosomal RNA", at positions 29 to 507 of the family's 1533-position model. The record is from RNAcentral.
AGUGAACGCUGGCGGUAGGCCUAACACAUGCAAGUCGAACGGCAGCACAGUAAGGGCUUGCUCUUACGGGUGGCGAGUGGCGGACGGGUGAGGAAUACAUCGGAAUCUACUUUUUCGUGGGGGAUAACGUAGGGAAACUUACGCUAAUACCGCAUACGACCUACGGGUGAAAGCAGGGGAUCUUCGGACCUUGCGCGAUUGAAUGAGCCGAUGUCGGAUUAGCUAGUUGGCGGGGUAAAGGCCCACCAAGGCGACGAUCCGUAGCUGGUCUGAGAGGAUGAUCAGCCACACUGGAACUGAGACACGGUCCAGACUCCUACGGGAGGCAGCAGUGGGGAAUAUUGGACAAUGGGCGCAAGCCUGAUCCAGCCAUACCGCGUGGGUGAAGAGGCCUUCGGGUUGUAAAGCCCUUUUGUUGGGAAAGAAAAGCAGCAGGUUAAUACCCCGCUGUUCUGACGGUACCCAAAGAAUAAGCACCGGCUAACUUCGUG